This 300-nucleotide ribosomal RNA is filed under the name Triticum aestivum (bread wheat). Its description in RNAcentral is "partial small subunit ribosomal RNA". The record is from RNAcentral. Lineage: Eukaryota; Viridiplantae; Streptophyta; Magnoliopsida; Poales; Poaceae.
AUGGCCCAUCUCCUCUCGGGAUGCCCGUUCACUAGGCAGGUAUUGACCAUCCCUUCCGCGGACGCCCCCUUCAUCGACUGGCUUGCUUCUUCGGCCGCCAGCACCCCCUCCUGCUUGCGCCGUGGCUUUACUACGCUUGCACUGCUCAUUGCCUGGGAGAUCUGGAAGCAGCGCAAUGCUUGCGUCUUAGAUGCCGCCCGGCCGUCCAUCUCCAGGACCUUGGCGACGAUCAUGGAGGAAGCUCGCUGCUGGGCCCACGCGGGCGCCUUAGGACUGUGCAGCAUUUUGCCCGAGGGGUAG